This 330-nucleotide ribosomal RNA is filed under the name uncultured bacterium. RNAcentral's name for it is "bacterial SSU rRNA". It matches the Rfam family "Bacterial small subunit ribosomal RNA", at positions 18 to 344 of the family's 1533-position model. The record is from RNAcentral.
CCUGGCUCAGAUUGAACGCUGGCGGCAGGCCUAACACAUGCAAGUCGAACGGUAGCACAGAGGAGCUUGCUCCUUGGGUGACGAGUGGCGGACGGGUGAGUAAUGUUUGGGAAACUGCCUGAUGGAGGGGGAUAACGACUGGAAACGGUAGCUAAUACCGCAUAACAUCGCAAGAUCAAAGAGUGGGACCUUCGGGCCUCUUGCCAUAGGAUGUGCCCAGAUGGGAUUAGCUAGUUGGUGGGGUAACGGCUCACCAAGGCGACGAUCCCUAGCUGGUCUGAGAGGAUGACCAGCCACACUGGAACUGAGACACGGUCCAGACUCCUACGG